This 69-nucleotide transfer RNA is filed under the name Cumberlandia monodonta. RNAcentral's name for it is "tRNA-Ser". The record is from RNAcentral. Lineage: Eukaryota; Metazoa; Mollusca; Bivalvia; Unionida; Margaritiferidae.
AGAAAAUAGGAUGAACCAAUGCACGGCUUCUAACCGUACAAAGAGGGGUUUAAUUCCCUUCAUUUUCUC